AUACUCCGAGAACUGAAAGGCUUUUUGAAGUCUUCGGAUGGAUAGAAGAACCCCUGAUGCCGUCGAGCCAAGAAAAGUUUCUAAGUUUAGCUAAUGUUGCCCGUACCGUAAACCGACACAGGUGGGUGGGAUGAGUAUUCUAAGGCGCGUGGAAGAACUCUCUUUAAGGAACUCUGCAAAAUAGCACCGUAUCUUCGGUAUAAGGUGUGGUUAGCUUCGUACUAGGAUUUACUCCGAAAGCGAAGAAACUUACAACAAAGAGUCCCUCCCGACUGUUUACCAAAAACACAGCACUCUGCUAACUCGUAAGAGGAUGUAUAGGGUGUGACGCCUGCCCGGUGCUCGAAGGUUAAUUGAUGGGGUUAGCAUUAGCGAAGCUCUUGAUCGAAGCCCGAGUAAACGGCGGCCGUAACUAUAACGGUCCUAAGGUAGCGAAAUUCCUUGUCGGUUAAAUACCGACCUGCAUGAAUGGCGUAACGAGAUGGGAGCUGUCUCAAAGAGGGAUCCAGUGAAAUUGUAGUGGAGGUGAAAAUUCCUCCUACCCGCGGCAAGACGGAAAGACCCCGUGGACCUU
Molecule: ribosomal RNA, 574 nt
Filed under: Campylobacter jejuni
Lineage: Bacteria; Pseudomonadati; Campylobacterota; Epsilonproteobacteria; Campylobacterales; Campylobacteraceae
Description: partial 23S ribosomal RNA
Rfam family: Bacterial large subunit ribosomal RNA
Source: RNAcentral